RNAcentral lists this ribosomal RNA (159 nucleotides) under Aztecaster matudae. RNAcentral's name for it is "5.8S ribosomal RNA". It matches the Rfam family "5.8S ribosomal RNA". From Rfam's summary of the family: 5.8S ribosomal RNA (5.8S rRNA) is a component of the large subunit of the eukaryotic ribosome. It is transcribed by RNA polymerase I as part of the 45S precursor that also contains 18S and 28S rRNA. Lineage: Eukaryota; Viridiplantae; Streptophyta; Magnoliopsida; Asterales; Asteraceae. The record is from RNAcentral. RNAcentral also lists the same sequence under 4 other names.
GACUCUCGGCAACGGAUAUCUCGGCUCACGCAUCGAUGAAGAACGUAGCAAAAUGCGAUACUUGGUGUGAAUUGCAGAAUCCCGUGAACCAUCGAGUUUUUGAACGCAAGUUGCGCCCGAAGCCAUUUGGCCGAGGGCACGUCUGCCUGGGCGUCACGC